UACGUAGGGGGCAAGCGUUAUCCGGAUUUACUGGGUGUAAAGGGAGCGUAGGUGGUUAGAUAAGUCAGAUGUGAAAGCCCAGGGCUCAACCCUGGGACUGCAUUUGAAACUAUCUAACUAGAGUGCAGGAGAGGUAAGUGGAAUUCCUAGUGUAGCGGUGAAAUGCGUAGAUAUUAGGAGGAACACCAGUGGCGAAGGCGGCUUACUGGACUGUAACUGACACUGAGGCUCGAAAGCGUGGGGAGCAAACAGG
This 253-nucleotide ribosomal RNA is filed under the name uncultured bacterium. RNAcentral describes it as "partial 16S ribosomal RNA". It matches the Rfam family "Bacterial small subunit ribosomal RNA", at positions 524 to 776 of the family's 1533-position model. The record is from RNAcentral.